AUUUUUUUGGAAACGGUGCAUUACCUUGUAAUAAGAGUGGUAUCAUUAUAAUCGUGGACUAAAGCUCUAUCAACUACAAUAUUUUUUACAACCAAAUUCGUGCUAUGGGAUAUUUAUUUACGUGAUUUACCUGUUUUAGCUGUACACACUGGGAGAAGAUGAGGUACCGACAGUCACCACAAUUUCUUCGUCGUCAUUAAAAUUAGUUCCUGGGAAGACAUUUCAGCGUCACGUGACCGUACGGAACAUUGAGAACGACCCGCUGGUCUCGCAGACGAGCCGUGAGCAGCGAGCGUGUCGCUUCGGCUCCGAGAACGAGGGCGGGCUGUACCCACGGUACUCGUACAGUGCGUGCACGGUGGCCUGCCGGCGGACGCACCAGCGGCAGCGGUGCGGCUGCAACGAUCACUUCAUGAUUCAGACCAUGGAACAGGAGCACUGCAACAUAUCUGGUAUAUGGUGUCUUCACUCGCAUGCCAGCCACUUGACUGCGCUCAAGCCGCCCUGGGGUGAGCGGCCCGGAAUGGUCUGCGAUUGCUUACCUUCGUGC
Molecule: long non-coding RNA, 550 nt
Organism: Leptidea sinapis
Lineage: Eukaryota; Metazoa; Arthropoda; Insecta; Lepidoptera; Pieridae
Exons: 4
Source: RefSeq, a predicted model, not a curated record